Molecule: long non-coding RNA, 766 nt
Organism: Aegilops tauschii subsp. strangulata
Lineage: Eukaryota; Viridiplantae; Streptophyta; Magnoliopsida; Poales; Poaceae
Source: RefSeq, a predicted model, not a curated record
AAGCGCCGAUGCUCGUGAUGGUGGCCGCAACUCGUGGUCGCUGUCCGUAUUAGGACAACUGGCCGCCGGAGGUCCCGCCGUCGCGCCGAUUUGGAUCCGCCACUGUGUUGUUUUUGGCCGAUUCAGCUGUUUGCCAGAGCGCCGAAGUUCGUGAUGGCGGCCGUAGCUCAUGGUCAUCGUCCGUAGUAGGAUAACUGGCCGCCGGAGCCACCGCGGCCGAGCUGCGCGACCACUGCUUCGAUCGGCGCCCUCGGCGUUGCAUCAUCAACAUUACGUGCAGCCACGAGCCGACAUGCGUUAAGGAGGCAUAGGAGACGCCUUCCAGAGUCGCUCCUCGUCGGCGUGACUACCAUCCACGCUCCGAUGUGCAACCGACCGGUUUCUAUCUCCUCGCACACAAGGUGUUUGACAAAAUUGCCACAAGAAGGGGAGACCGAAUUAGACGCUUCAUGCAGGUGUACCCAAACAUCAGAGAGUCCGAUACGCACGAUGAUCUUCAAAAAAAUAUUCUGAAGGGAUGGUGGACAUGGCAUACGGAGCAAGCCUCCUAGUUUCAUCUCCAUGUUUGUCGUAUUGUGCAUGAACUAUGAUGUAUUGUUUGCUGAACCUUGUUGUAUUUGUGUUGCAUUUCAUGUUGUGGAUUUCAUGAAUUAUGUUGUAGUUUGAUGUCGUGGAUUGAUGAAUUUAUUGUUAUGUUUGUUUAAGUAUUAAUUUGAGAUGAUUUUGCUUAAAAUAUGUUUGAAAUUGAUGUGUUGUUGUUGCCCUA